GGAAAGUCUCCGGGCGCAUCAGAUCCCAGAAAGGGCGUUGGGCGGCUUGCAUGAAGUCGGCAAUC
This 65-nucleotide non-coding RNA is filed under the name Alexandrium margalefii. Lineage: Eukaryota; Dinophyceae; Gonyaulacales; Pyrocystaceae. The record is from RNAcentral.